UGGAAGUAGAAGGAGGAGAGCAUAAACAAGGAAGAGAAGAUAAAAGUAACAUAGAAGAAUUAGAUAACGGUUAGUGAGUGGAGACCAGCAUAGUUAAAUUAUAAACAGGUGAGGACAGAAAUAACACUGGGAGAGACAGAAAAGACAUAAGAAUAGAAGAUAGCAGGAUAAUUUAGUUAGGUUCAUUUAGUUAGGAUAUUAAUACAUGGAGAGACUAUCGGCUCCAUAGGCAUGUAUUAUAGUUUUGAUUUUAAGUUAUGUUUGGUAAAAUUCGCUAGGAAAAGAUAUGAUAAUUUAGUUGAAAGAAGUUGUUCAAUCUUAAAGAAGAUAGGACACUUGAUAGAGAAAUGCACAGGGUACCUAAGGAUGAAUGCCCCAGGGAGAAUUGGACAUGUGGUAUAUGAAAGGGGGCAAUCCUACAAGAGAAGGGCUGACAUAAGGAUAAUUUACUAACCUUACAAAAGACAUUGUUAAGAAAUGCAGCAAAAUUGAUACAUGGUUUGAGCCAUGUAUAAAAAGGGGGAGUAAGGGGGAGUAUAGUAGAGCAGGCGAUAGAACAGGAUAGGAUGCUACUAGAACAAAAACAUUUUUUGUAGAAUGUCCAUUCCAACAUUUGGAAAUGGACUUAUUGAACUAUUCCGAAUUGAGGGGAAGAAGGGGUGUUUAACAAUAACAGAUAAGUAUAGCAAAUGGGUAGAAGUGUUCCCAACUUACUUGGUGGACAUGAUUAUGGUAGCUAGAAUAUUAGGACAAGAUAUAAUCCCUAGUGUUGAUACUGGGAUCUAUCUCUUUAAAUGAUGGAUGACAGUUUAGCUAAUCAGGUAGAGCCUAUAGAAUGCCAGAGUUAGGGAGAAUAGAGAUACCAGAACAGGUAGACAUAGAAGUUAAAGAUAUACUAGCAGAGCACAUGAGAAGACUGUUUGUUAACCAAACCCGUAUGUCCAAGAUUUUGUGUUCAACAGGUGAAUUACAGGAGAAGGUGAUUCACUCAAUCCAACCAGGAGACUGGGUGUGGAUCCAGUCCCUGAGGAGAAAAGACGGGAAGCAGCCCCGUGGGGAAGGCCCAUACCAGGUUCUGUUAAACCAUUGCCUUUGCCAUUAGAAAAGCUGAGAGAGUCACUUGGGUCCACGUUACCCACUGCAAGGAGGUAUGUACUCAUAUGAGCACUGCUGAUCACACACAGAGUUAGGAGAAGAACCGAGAACCAACAAGGUCCGGGGGUUACCUCCUUAACGAAGAUUUCCUAUCCCGACCGUUCAUCACUGUGUGUGCUCCUAGAGGUGUGAGUAUGGGGUGGUACCAAGCAGAGAGACUAAGGGCAGGAGAGGGUUGACGGUUUUUGGGAAGAGUAGAAACUCUGAGCUGCAUCAUAGUCUAAUCUUUCUGAUAUAUUCAGAUCCACCACCUACUGGUACUAAACAUAGGUUACCGUUGUCAUUGAGAAGAAGUAAAAGAUAAACUAUAUAAUACACUGAUGAGUGACGUACAGAAUAAGGAAUCAAAGAAGAUCAAGAUGUAG
Molecule: long non-coding RNA, 1520 nt
Filed under: Salmo salar (Atlantic salmon)
Lineage: Eukaryota; Metazoa; Chordata; Actinopteri; Salmoniformes; Salmonidae
Description: lncRNA (ENSSSAG00000086123.1)
Source: RNAcentral